This 101-nucleotide Y RNA is filed under the name Suricata suricatta (meerkat). RNAcentral describes it as "Y RNA (ENSSSUG00005013359.1)". It matches the Rfam family "Y RNA". From Rfam's summary of the family: Y RNAs are components of the Ro ribonucleoprotein particle (Ro RNP), in association with Ro60 and La proteins. The Y RNAs and Ro60 and La proteins are well conserved, but the function of the Ro RNP is not known. The record is from Rfam by way of RNAcentral. Lineage: Eukaryota; Metazoa; Chordata; Mammalia; Carnivora; Herpestidae.
AGCUGGUCCGAGUACAGUGUUGUUUAUAAUUAAUUGUCACAAUCAGUUACAGGCUUCUUUCUUUCUUCUCCCCUCCCACUGCCUCACUUGACUAGCCUGAA